This 509-nucleotide ribosomal RNA is filed under the name Atyopsis spinipes. RNAcentral's name for it is "partial 16S ribosomal RNA". It matches the Rfam family "Bacterial large subunit ribosomal RNA", at positions 1830 to 2597 of the family's 2925-position model. Lineage: Eukaryota; Metazoa; Arthropoda; Malacostraca; Decapoda; Atyidae. The record is from RNAcentral.
UGCGUGAAGUGUAGUGCUCAGUCUAGCCUGCCCCCUGAUUUUUAAAGGGCCGCGGUAUCUGAACCGUGCUAAGGUAGCAUAAUCAAUAGUCUUUUAAUUGAGGUCUAGUAUGAAUGGUUGGACAGGAGGUAAGCUGUCUUAAUCACAGUUAUUGAAUUUUACUUUUAAGUGAAAAGGCUUAAAUCUUAUGAGGGGACGAUAAGACCCUAUAAAGCUUUACAUUGUAAGCUUUUAAUUUUAGAAAUUUAAGGUGAUUCUGUUUAAUUGGUUUACAUGUUUCGUUGGGGCGACGGAAAUAAAAAUUGUAACUGUUUUCGUUAUAAAAAUAAAUGUUUUUAGAGAAUUUGAUCCUUUUUAGAGAUUAUGAGAUUAAAGUUACUUUAGGGAUAACAGCGUGAUUUUCUUUGAGAGUUCUUAUCGACAGGAGUAGUUGCGACCUCGAUGUUGAAUUAAGGUGCCGCCAAGAUGCAGCAGUUUUGGAAGUGGGUCUGUUCGACCUUUAAAGCCUU